AUUCUGCCCAUGCGGGGAAGGAUGAGAAGCUUCGACCAAGCUGCGACUCGAGCGCCAGCGAGAGAGCGUUGCCGCAGGCAACGACCCGAAGGGCGAAGCGCGCAGCGCUGAGUAAUCCUUCCCCCACCACCA
This 132-nucleotide small RNA is filed under the name Escherichia coli. RNAcentral's name for it is "RtT sRNA". It matches the Rfam family "RtT RNA". Rfam says of the family: This family represents a bacterial cis-regulatory element known as RtT RNA. The exact function of RtT is unknown although it is thought that it may be involved in changing the cellular response in relation to amino acid starvation. The record is from RNAcentral. Lineage: Bacteria; Pseudomonadati; Pseudomonadota; Gammaproteobacteria; Enterobacterales; Enterobacteriaceae.